This 460-nucleotide ribosomal RNA is filed under the name uncultured bacterium. RNAcentral's name for it is "partial 16S ribosomal RNA". It matches the Rfam family "Bacterial small subunit ribosomal RNA", at positions 338 to 795 of the family's 1533-position model. The record is from RNAcentral.
CCUACGGGAGGCUGCAGUGAGGAAUAUUGGUCAAUGGACGAGAGUCUGAACCAGCCAAGUAGCGUGAAGGAUGACUGCCCUAUGGGUUGUAAACUUCUUUUAUAUGGGAAUAAAACGUUCCACGUGUGGGAUUUUGUAUGUACCAUAUGAAUAAGGAUCGGCUAACUCCGUGCCAGCAGCCGCGGUAAUACGGAGGAUCCGAGCGUUAUCCGGAUUUAUUGGGUUUAAAGGGAGCGUAGGUGGAUUGUUAAGUCAGUUGUGAAAGUUUGCGGCUCAACCGUAAAAUUGCAGUUGAAACUGGCAGUCUUGAGUACAGUAGAGGUGGGCGGAAUUCGUGGUGUAGAGGUGAAAUGCUUAGAUAUCACGAAGAACUCCGAUUGCGAAGGCAGUUCACUGGACUGCAACUGACACUGAGGCUCGAAAGUGUGGGUAUCAAACAGGAUUAGAUACCCGGGUAGUC